UGCAUAUCAAUAAGCGGAGGAAAAGAAACUAACAAGGAUUCCCCUAGUAGCGGCGAGCGAAGCGGGAAGAGCUCAAAUUUAUAAUCUGGCACCUUCGGUGUCCGAGUUGUAAUCUCUAGAAGUGUUUUCCGCGUUGGACCGCACACAAGUCUGUUGGAAUACAGCGGCACAGUGGUGAUACCCCCGUACACGGUGCGGACGCCCAGCGCUUUGUGAUACACUUUCAAUGAGUCGAGUUGUUUGGGAAUGCAGCUCAAAUUGGGUGGUAAAUUCCAUCUAAAGCUAAAUAUUGGCGAGAGACCGAUAGCGAACAAGUACCGUGAGGGAAAGAUGAAAAGCACUUUGGAAAGAGAGUUAACAGUACGUGAAAUUGUUGGAAGGGAAACGCUUGAAGUCAGACUUGCUUGCCGGAGCUUGCUUCGGUUUGCAGGCCAGCAUCAGUUUUCCGGGGUGGAUAAUGGUGGUUUGAAGGUAGCAGCCUCGGCUGUGUUAUAGCUUUCCACUGGAUACAUCCUGGGGGACUGAGGAACGCAGCGUGCUUUUUGCGAAGGUAUCGACCUUUCACGCAAAGGAUAAAAUAAAAAACGUUCGCCGU
This 595-nucleotide ribosomal RNA is filed under the name Rhodotorula kratochvilovae. RNAcentral's name for it is "eukaryotic LSU rRNA". It matches the Rfam family "Eukaryotic large subunit ribosomal RNA", at positions 37 to 627 of the family's 3401-position model. Lineage: Eukaryota; Fungi; Basidiomycota; Microbotryomycetes; Sporidiobolales; Sporidiobolaceae. The record is from RNAcentral.